Molecule: ribosomal RNA, 461 nt
Filed under: uncultured bacterium
Lineage: Bacteria
Description: partial 16S ribosomal RNA
Rfam family: Bacterial small subunit ribosomal RNA
Source: RNAcentral
CCUACGGGAGGCAGCAGUGAGGAAUAUUGGUCAAUGGGCGCGAGCCUGAACCAGCCAAGUCGCGUGAGGGAUGACGGUCCUACGGAUUGUAAACCUCUUUUGCCGGGGAGCAAGCGUGCGUUCGUGAACGCGCGACGAGAGUUCCCGGAGAAAAAGCAACCGCCAACUCCGUGCCAGCCGCCGCGGUAAUACGGAGGAUGCGAGUGUUAUCCGGAUUUAAUGGGUUUAAAGGGUGCGUAGGCGGGGAUGCAAGUCAGACGGGAAAAAGCGGGGGUCAACCGCGGAGGUGCGGUGGAAAUUGGCGAUCUUGAGUGGGCGAGAGGUAUGCGGAAUGCGUGGUGUAGCGGUGAAAUGCGUAGAUAUCACGCAGAACUCCGAUUGCGAAGGCAGCAUACCGGCGCGCUACUGACGCUGAGGCACGAAAGCGUGGGUAUCGAACAGGAUUAGAUACCCGAGUAGUC